AAUGAACGUUGGCGGCAUGGAUUAGGCAUGCAAGUCGAGCGAGAAGCUUAAGUUUGACGCUUCGGUUGAUUUCUUAAGUGGACAGCGGCGAAAGGGUGAGUAACGCGUAGUUACGUGCCCCAGGCUCUGGAAUAGCCUCGGGAAACUGAGGGUAAUGCCAGAUAAUAUCUCCGGAUCAAAGGUGCGAUUCCGGCCUGGGAGCGGACUGCGUCCUACUAGCUUGUUGGUGGGGUAAUGGCCUACCAAGGCUCCGAUGGGUAGCGGGCGUGAGAGCGUGGCCCGUCACACUGGGACUGAGACACUGCCCAGACACCUACGGGUGGCUGCAGUCGAGAAUCUUCGGCAAUGGACGAAAGUCUGACCGAGCGAUGCCGCGUGCGGGAUGAAGGCCCUCGGGUUGUAAACCGGUGAAGUAAGGAGGAAGGCGCUGUGAAGAGCAGCG
RNAcentral lists this ribosomal RNA (442 nucleotides) under uncultured bacterium. RNAcentral describes it as "bacterial SSU rRNA". It matches the Rfam family "Bacterial small subunit ribosomal RNA", at positions 29 to 468 of the family's 1533-position model. The record is from RNAcentral.